This 105-nucleotide microRNA precursor is filed under the name Procavia capensis (Cape rock hyrax). Its description in RNAcentral is "miRNA (ENSPCAG00000019498.1)". Lineage: Eukaryota; Metazoa; Chordata; Mammalia; Hyracoidea; Procaviidae. The record is from RNAcentral.
GAUGUGUGUGUAUGUAUAUGCACAUGUAUGUUUAUUUGUGUGUGCAUGUAUAUGUGUUGGUAUGUGUGUAUGUGUGCGUCAUAUACAUAGACACAUAGAUGUAUG